ACUCCUACGGGAGGCAGCAGUGGGGAAUAUUGCACAAUGGGCGCAAGCCUGAUGCAGCCAUGCCGCGUGUGUGAAGAAGGCCUUCGGGUUGUAAAGCACUUUCAGUUGUGAGGAAGGUGGUGUCGUUAAUAGCGGCAUCAUUUGACGUUAGUCAACAGAAGAAGCACCGGCUAACUCCGUGCCAGCAGCCGCGGUAAUACGGAGGGUGCGAGCGUUAAUCGGAAUUACUGGGCGUAAAGCGCAUGCAGGUGGUUUGUUAAGUCAGAUGUGAAAGCCCGGGGCUCAACCUCGGAACUGCAUUUGAAACUGGCAGACUAGAGUACUGUAGAGGGGGGUAGAAUUUCAGGUGUAGCGGUGAAAUGCGUAGAGAUCUGAAGGAAUACCGGUGGCGAAGGCGGCCCCCUGGACAGAUACUGACACUCAGAUGCGAAAGCGUGGGGAGCAAACAGGAUUAGAUACCCUGGUAGCACAGAG
Molecule: ribosomal RNA, 474 nt
Filed under: uncultured bacterium
Lineage: Bacteria
Description: bacterial SSU rRNA
Rfam family: Bacterial small subunit ribosomal RNA
Source: RNAcentral